UACGUAGGGUGCGAGCGUUAAUCGGAAUUACUGGGCGUAAAGCGUGCGCAGGCGGCUUUAUAAGCCAGAUGUGAAAUCCCCGGGCUUAACCUGGGAACUGCAUUUGGAACUGUAAGGCUAGAGUGUAGCAGAGGGGGGUAGAAUUCCACGUGUAGCAGUGAAAUGCGUAGAUAUGUGGAGGAAUACCGAUGGCGAAGGCAGCCCCCUGGGCUAACACUGACGCUCAUGCACGAAAGCGUGGGGAGCAAACAGA
RNAcentral lists this ribosomal RNA (253 nucleotides) under uncultured bacterium. RNAcentral describes it as "partial 16S ribosomal RNA". It matches the Rfam family "Bacterial small subunit ribosomal RNA", at positions 524 to 776 of the family's 1533-position model. The record is from RNAcentral.